This is a long non-coding RNA of Ostrinia nubilalis (European corn borer), 461 nucleotides long. RefSeq lists it as uncharacterized. The transcript has 3 exons. Lineage: Eukaryota; Metazoa; Arthropoda; Insecta; Lepidoptera; Crambidae. The record is from RefSeq and is a predicted model, not a curated record.
AUUGCAAAGCAACUAAAGAAAGAUAAUUUUAAGCUAAAUUAAAAACUAAUCAGUUUGUCAGGCCUGGGACAAAAAUUUUGGCGAAUUCAAAGGAGCUACUGGGACACCUUGAAAAUGUAGUUUUUUAAAGAAUUUGGUUUUAUUGUGGACUGAUGUUAAUUUAGUUCCUAAUUUUUUUUUAUGCAUAACAAGGCAGGUAUUUGACCACAAUCGCACCUGGUGUUAAGUGGGAUGCAGUCUAGGAUGGUACAUUAUCUGCUCUGUAAGUUUAUUUGUAAAUAUUUGCAGCACCUACACCCGCGCCCCCGCCUCAAUGGAUAAACGACAUGAAGGUGUUCAUCAAGAAUCUGGUGGAGAAAUACGGAAGGAGCAAACUGGACGAGCAUUUGAAGCCCGUUAUAAAAUAUGUGGAAAAGCUACACAACGUUUAUAUUAAGGAUAUUGAUGUCGAUGAAUUUGGU